This 468-nucleotide ribosomal RNA is filed under the name uncultured bacterium. RNAcentral describes it as "bacterial SSU rRNA". It matches the Rfam family "Bacterial small subunit ribosomal RNA", at positions 51 to 535 of the family's 1533-position model. The record is from RNAcentral.
ACACAUGCAAGUCGAACGGGGAGUAUUAAUUUCGGUUUUUACUCCUAGUGCGAACGGGUGAGUAACGCGUUGGUGACCUGCCCCGAAGCGGGGGAUAACGUUCGAAAGGACUGCUAAUACCCCAUGUGGUCGUACAGGUUAUAGGCUGACGACUAAAGGAGCAAUCCACUUCGGGAGGGGCCUGCGUCCCAUCAGCUUUUGGUAAGGUAACGGCCUACCAAGGCGAUGACGGGUAGGGGACCUGAGGGGUGGUCCCCCACACUGGCACUGAAACACGGGCCAUACACCUACGGGUGCAUGAGUAGGGAAUAUUGCACAAUGGGCGAAAGCCUGAUGCAGCAACGCGCGUGCGCGAAGAAGGCCUUCGGGUUGUAAAGCGCUUCUCUGGAGGAAAGAAAGGACGGUACUCCAGGAAUAAGGAUCGGCUAACUACGUGCCAGCACCGUGGCUAUAAUCACUAGUGAAUUC